Molecule: ribosomal RNA, 512 nt
Filed under: uncultured bacterium
Lineage: Bacteria
Description: partial 16S ribosomal RNA
Rfam family: Bacterial small subunit ribosomal RNA
Source: RNAcentral
GACGAACGCUGGCGGCAUGCCUAAUACAUGCAAGUCGAGCGAACAGAUGAAGUGCUUGCACUUCUGACGUUAGCGGCGAACGGGUGAGUAACACGUAAGGAAUCUACCUAUAAGCGGGGGAUAACAUUCGGAAACGGGUGCUAAUACCGCCUAAUAUCUUCUUCCGCAUGGAAGAAGAUUGAAAGACGGCUCUGCUGUCACUUAUAGAUGACCCGCGGUGCAUUAGCUAUUUGGUGAGGUAACGGCUCACCAAGGCCACGAUGCAUAGCCGCCCUGAGAGGGUGAUCGGCCACAUUGGGACUGAGACACGGCCCAAACUCCUACGGGAGGCAGCAGUAGGGAAUCUUCCGCAACGGACGAAAGUCUGACGGAGCAACGCCGCGUGAGUGAAGAAGGUUUUCGGAUCGUAAAACUCUGUUGUCAGAGAAGAACAAGUCGGAGAGUAACUGCUCCGGCCUUGACGGUAUCUGACCAGAAAGCCACGGCUAACUACGUGCCAGCCGCCGCCGUAA